UGGUAUUACGUCUAAAGGUAUUUCAUACAUGUUUGAAAUAUGCCUAAGGAUGGGGCUGCGGCCGAUCAGGCUGUUGGUGAGGUAAUGGCUCACCAAACCUUUGACCGGUACGGGCCAUGAGAGUGGUAGCCCGGAGAUGGACACUGAGACAAGGGUCCAGGCCCUAAGGGGCGCAGCAACCGCGAAACCUCCACAAUGCACUCACGUGCGAUGGGGCUAUCUCGAGUGCCACCUGAUGAAGGUGGCUUUUUCCUUGGUCUUCAAAGCCUUGGGAAUAAGAGGGGGGCAAGACUGGUGUCAGCCGCCGCGGUAACACCAGCCCCUCGAGUGGUGGGGAUGAUUAUUUGGCCUAAAGCGUCCGUAGCCGGCCGAGCAAGUCUUCCGUUAAAUCCAGCGUCUCAAGCGUUGGACCGCGGGAGAUACUACACGGCUAGAGAGUGGGAGAGGUCAGCGGUAUUCUGGGGGUAGGGGCGAAAUCCUUUGAUCCCCGGAGGACCACCAGUGGCGAAGGCUGCUGACUAGAACACGUCUGACGGUCAGGGACGAAAGCUGGGGUAGCGAACCGGAUUAGAUACCCGGGUAGUCCCAGCCGUAAACGAUGCAUGCUAGGUGUUGGGUUGGCCACGAGCCACCCCAGUGCCGCAGGGAAGCCGUUAAGCAUGCCGCCUGGGAAGUACGAUCGCAAGAUUGAAACUUAAAGGAAUUGGCGGGGGAGCACCACCAGGCGUGAAGCCUGCGGUUUAAUUGGAGUCAACGCCGGGAACCUUACCGGGAGCGACAGCAGAAUGAAGGCCAGAUUGAAGAUCUUGCCAGACGAGCUGAGAGGAGGUGCAUGGCCGUCGCCAGUUCGUGCCGUGAGGUGUUCUCUUAAGUGAGAUAACGAACGAGACCCGUGCCACAUGUUGCCACCAGUAUCUAAAGGAUAGCUGAGCACUCUUGUGGGACCGCAGCCGAUAAGGCUGAGGAAGGUACGGGCAACGGCAGGUCAGUAUGCCCCGAAUCUCCCGGGCCACACGCGGGCUGCAAUGGUACAGACAGAGGGCUGCCACCCCGAAAGGGGGAGCCAAUCCCUAAACUGUACCUCAGUUGGGAUCGAGGGUUGCAACCCACCCUCGUGAACAUGGAAUGCCUAGUAACCGCCAGUCAUCAUCUGGCGGUGAAUACGUCCCUGCUCCUUGCACACACUGCCCGUCGAACCACCCGAAUGAGGUUUGUGUGAGGAAUGGUCGAAUGUUGGCCGUUUCGAACCUGGGCCUCGUAAGGAGGGUUAAGUCGUAACAAGGUG
This 1285-nucleotide ribosomal RNA is filed under the name metagenome. RNAcentral describes it as "bacterial SSU rRNA". It matches the Rfam family "Archaeal small subunit ribosomal RNA", at positions 176 to 1445 of the family's 1478-position model. The record is from RNAcentral.